Molecule: non-coding RNA, 21 nt
Filed under: Caenorhabditis elegans
Lineage: Eukaryota; Metazoa; Nematoda; Chromadorea; Rhabditida; Rhabditidae
Source: RNAcentral
UCUCUCGAAAAAUUUUAGUUA